This 1283-nucleotide long non-coding RNA is filed under the name Toxoplasma gondii VEG. Lineage: Eukaryota; Apicomplexa; Conoidasida; Eucoccidiorida; Sarcocystidae. The record is from RNAcentral.
GUCUUCGGAACGCAGACGCCCCGAAUCUGACUCAGAAGCAUCGCGGGAAACGGCAAGGCAAAGACGGCGGAUGUAUCUUCAUGUUGCCUGGAAGAAGGAAGGCUGCUUCUGUCUGGACAGAGUGAACACGGUUCGCCUUCUUCGAUGCCUUGGUGGCGCCUUCUGGAUGUGCACACCGACAGAGGGAAGAAGGCUGAGAUUGACCAGAAGCCCGCAAGGCAGAAAUUAUGGAUCUCCCCGUGAAAUAUGAACGACUGACAACACAUCCGCUGUGUGUGUUUGUCCGCUUCCUCUCCAGCAAAAAAACGGCUAGCGCUCCGUUUCGCUUCCCCCAGCCACGCGCCACACGGACGAGAGAGAUGGCCGCAGAACUUGCAAUUGCACAUGAAAACGGACACGCCAGGAGACAGCGGAUCUUCUAUUUUUAGGACAUCUGCACAGAGGCGCAAAUGGAAGCGGAAAGGGGAAACUGCAAAGCACGCAAUCGGCUUUUUAUCUGAUUAGGGCGUGUGGUCGCGGCCUGGAGACACCGGCCAUGUGCAACAACGUCGGAAAAUCCGGCACACAGAGGAGCAUGAAAACGAGGUGUUAGUUCUGUAGUGACGAUUCAGAAAUGACAGAAAGUGUACUAAGUCUGUGGGAUAAAAGCGACCUGGGAGGAACGAGUUCUCAAGGCACUUCGACCCCCGCGCUUCCUUUUGAAAGUCUUGGGGGUUCGGCUCCGAGAAGCCGUCUCGCUCUUUAGCGCAUGCGGGUCUGGCUGUUUCCAAGCAGCUGCUCGGGGGAAGAGGGCCUAAGUGUUGCACAAGAAUUUCUGCAGGGAAUAAGUUUUCGAAAGGAUUAUUGGUGAGGUCUUCUCCGCAGUGUGUCGUUUGGUCUGAGGAAAUGUAGGUCUGAGAGGCAGGCGAGAGAAACUCUCUGCCCGGCCCGAGAAUCGCGCCGUCGACUUCCGCAGCGACCUCCGAGCACGCGCCGGAGAUCUGCCCGGUCUCCAGGAACUGGGAAAGGGGAAGCAGGAAACGGUCGGAGCUGAGUGUUGUCUCUGUUGGAAAAGGGAAAAGUGGAAACAAAGGCGAGGCAGGAGAACUCUGUCUUGAUGCUGUCGAGGGAGGCGAAAACAGGAUUGAGCGAAAGACGCCACACGGAGGAGAAGAGCCAGGGUCUUUGACUUCGUCACUGCGGCGUACGAGCAGACUUCAUCUUUUUUUUCAGGAGAGCAGUGUGCGCCACAAACAUCGUCCGUCGUCGCACGGUUUGUACCUCUUUCAGCUUGGCACUCUAAG